CGCCCGUCGAACUAUGAGAGCUGGUAAUAUCUAAAACCGUGUUGCUAACCGCAAGGAAGCGCAUGUCUAGGGUAGGACCGGUGAUUGGAGUUAAGUCGUAACAAGGUACCCCUACGAGAACGUGGGGGUGGAUCACCUCCUUUCUAUGGAGUAUAAACAAGCUUUAUACACCUUAUUACAAUAUUGGUGUUAAUAAUUUUAAAAUCCAAUUUAAAUGUUAAAACCCAUCGCAAAGCAAAUUUGAUGUCAACAUUUAUUUUGGUCAUGAUUUUAUCCAGUUUUGAGAGAAUUAAUCUCUCCUAUUACUUUAAAUUUUUAAAGUAGUAGAGAUGGUUCUUUGAAAACUGAAUACAGCAAAUCUUUCUAGUUCUUUGUGUGAAUAACACAAAUAUCAAAUGCUAAUGGAUAUCAAAAAAUAAGUUACUAAGGGCUUAUGGUGGAUGCCUUGGCACUGACAGGCGAUGAAGGACGUGCGAACCUGCGAAAAGCUACGGGGAGUCGGUUAGAGACGCUAAUCCGUAGGUGUCCGAAUGGGGGAACCCAGAAUAUGGAAACAUAUUUUAUUUAAUUCUGAAUUCAUAGGGGUUAAAAGCGAAACGUUGCGAAGUGAAACAUCUCAGUAGCAACAGGAAAAGAAAACGAAAGUGAUUCCGUGUGUAGUGGCGAGCGAAAGCGGAACAGGCCAAACCAGGAGCAAUCCUGGGGUUGUAGGACUACAAUGUGGACUUUGAGUUGAUAGGAGAAGUAGUUGGGAAGCUACACGAUACAGGGUGAUAGUCCCGUAACCGAAAUCAAAUCAAUACCUAGUAGGAUCCUGAGUACGUCGGAAAAUGUUAUUUUGACGGAACCUGCCCAAACCAUUGGGUAAGCCUAAAUACUAGUCAGUGACCGAUAGUGAACAA
RNAcentral lists this small RNA (902 nucleotides) under Mycoplasmoides pirum. Its description in RNAcentral is "bacterial LSU rRNA". The stretch from base 414 to 902 matches the Rfam family "Bacterial large subunit ribosomal RNA", at positions 1 to 497 of the family's 2925-position model. The record is from RNAcentral. Lineage: Bacteria; Bacillati; Mycoplasmatota; Mycoplasmoidales; Mycoplasmoidaceae.